This 467-nucleotide ribosomal RNA is filed under the name uncultured bacterium. RNAcentral's name for it is "partial 16S ribosomal RNA". It matches the Rfam family "Bacterial small subunit ribosomal RNA", at positions 28 to 507 of the family's 1533-position model. The record is from RNAcentral.
GACGAACGCUGGCGGCGUGCUUAACACAUGCAAGUCGAACGGAAAGGCCUCUUUCGGGGGGUACUCGAGUGGCGAACGGGUGAGUAACACGUGAGUAACCUGCCCUUGACUUUGGGAUAACUUCAGGAAACUGGGGCUAAUACCGGAUAGGAGCUCCUGCUGCAUGGUGGGGGUUGGAAAGUUUCGGCGGUUGGGGAUGGACUCGCGGCUUAUCAGCUUGUUGGUGGGGUAGUGGCUUACCAAGGCUUUGACGGGUAGCCGGCCUGAGAGGGUGACCGGCCACAUUGGGGCUGAGAUACGGCCCAGACUCCUACGGGAGGCAGCAGUGGGGAAUAUUGCACAAUGGGUGGAAGCCGGAUGCAGCAACGCCGUGGGCGGGAGGACGGCCUUCGGGUUGUAAACCGCUUUCGCUCAUGACGAAGCUUUGUGUGACGGUAGUGGGUAAAGAAGCACCGGCUAACUACGUG